AGUGAACGCUGGCGGUAGGCCUAACACAUGCAAGUCGAACGGCAGCACAGUAAGAGCUUGCUCUUACGGGUGGCGAGUGGCGGACGGGUGAGGAAUACAUCGAAAUCUACUUUUUCGUGGGGGAUAACGUAGGGAAACUUACGCUAAUACCGCAUACGACCUACGGGUGAAAGCAGGGGAUCUUCGGACCUUGCGCGAUUGAAUGAGCCGAUGUCGGAUUAGCUAGUUGGCGGGGUAAAGGCCCACCAAGGCGACGAUCCGUAGCUGGUCUGAGAGGAUGAUCAGCCACACUGGAACUGAGACACGGUCCAGACUCCUACGGGAGGCAGCAGUGGGGAAUAUUGGACAAUGGGCGCAAGCCUGAUCCAGCCAUACCGCGUGGGUGAAGAAGGCCUUCAGGUUGUAAAGCCCUUUUGUUGGGAAAGAAAGGCAGCAGGUUAAUACCCCGCUGUUCUGACGGUACCCAAAGAAUAAGCACCGGCUAACUUCGUG
This 492-nucleotide ribosomal RNA is filed under the name uncultured bacterium. RNAcentral's name for it is "partial 16S ribosomal RNA". It matches the Rfam family "Bacterial small subunit ribosomal RNA", at positions 29 to 507 of the family's 1533-position model. The record is from RNAcentral.